Molecule: ribosomal RNA, 206 nt
Filed under: uncultured bacterium
Lineage: Bacteria
Description: partial 16S ribosomal RNA
Rfam family: Bacterial small subunit ribosomal RNA
Source: RNAcentral
CGCGUAGGCGGCCUUCUAAGUCAGACGUGAAAUCCCCCGGCUUAACCUGGGAACUGCGUCUGAUACUGGAAGGCUUGAGUAUGGGAGAGGGAUGUAGAAUUCCAGGUGUAGCGGUGAAAUGCGUAGAUAUCUGGAGGAAUACCGGUGGCGAAGGCGGCAUCCUGGACCAUUACUGACGCUGAGGCGCGAAAGCUAGGGAGCAAACG